UCUCUGCCGAAUAUAGUCCGGCCAAGUAUUCCGGCCUUUCGAGCCGGAGACCCGGGUUCGAAUCCCGGCCGGAGCACCA
This 79-nucleotide transfer RNA is filed under the name Candidatus Bathyarchaeota archaeon. RNAcentral's name for it is "tRNA-Glu". The stretch from base 10 to 68 matches the Rfam family "tRNA", at positions 9 to 63 of the family's 71-position model. From Rfam's summary of the family: Transfer RNA (tRNA) molecules are approximately 80 nucleotides in length. Their secondary structure includes four short double-helical elements and three loops (D, anti-codon, and T loops). The record is from RNAcentral. Lineage: Archaea; Thermoproteati; Candidatus Bathyarchaeota.